This 249-nucleotide ribosomal RNA is filed under the name uncultured Glomeromycetes. RNAcentral describes it as "partial small subunit ribosomal RNA". It matches the Rfam family "Eukaryotic small subunit ribosomal RNA", at positions 587 to 842 of the family's 1831-position model. The record is from RNAcentral. Lineage: Eukaryota; Fungi; Glomeromycota; Glomeromycetes.
AGCUCCAAUAGCGUAUAUUAAAGUUGUUGCAGUUAAAAAGCUCGUAGUUGAAUUUCGGGAUCGGUUUACUGGUCGUGCUUUUGUACGUACUGGUAUUAUCGGUUUCUCCUUUCUGACGAACCAUAAUGCCAUUAAUUUGGUGUUUUGGGAAAUCAGGACUGUUACUUUGAAAAAAUUAGAGUGUUUAAAGCAGGCUCACGCUUGAAUACAUUAGCAUGGAAUAAUGGAAUAGGACGUUUGAUUCUAUUU